Molecule: microRNA precursor, 97 nt
Filed under: Felis catus (domestic cat)
Lineage: Eukaryota; Metazoa; Chordata; Mammalia; Carnivora; Felidae
Description: mir-544 microRNA precursor family
Rfam family: mir-544 microRNA precursor family
Source: Rfam by way of RNAcentral
ACCACCCGGGGAUCUUGUGAAAAUGAAGAUUCUGAUUUAGUAGGUUGGCCAUGGGACUGAGAUUUUUCAUUUCUAACAAGCUUUUAGGUGAUGCCCA